RNAcentral lists this unclassified non-coding RNA (715 nucleotides) under Hevea brasiliensis (rubber tree). The record is from RNAcentral. Lineage: Eukaryota; Viridiplantae; Streptophyta; Magnoliopsida; Malpighiales; Euphorbiaceae.
ACACAAUAACCUCCUACUCUACACAUACCCACUUCUAGUAAAGCUGCCUAUUACUAUUUCUCAAUCGCUACUUUCCCUCAAAAUGUGGAGUUCCUUGAAUACUUCUUUCAUCACAAUAAGCCUUAGGGGAUUAAGGGGAAUCAAUUUCAUACACAGAGAUGACCUGAGCAAGAACCCAUCAAAAAAGAAGGUAAAGAUCGGUGAUUGCUUGGCAAGUAGUAGAGAACCAUUGCUUUGCAAAGAAUUAGAGAAUGAUAAGAAUUUGGAGAGAAGAAGCUAUGGAAAUGCUUCUGUUGAAGAAAAUGGUGUGGUUAGAGUGAAAGUUAAGAUGACAAAACAAGAAGCUGCUCGUCUAUUGUCAAAGUGUAAAGAUGGCGGGAUUCUUGAGUUCAGGGAUGUAGCACAUGAGCUGGUACAAAUCCCUGUCAAUCGUGUUAGUGUUGUGGCCUCGGGUUGUGGCUAUGGUAGUAGUGUGCUUAAAACAAUCCCUGAAGAGAUUUAGGUAAUUGAAAUUUGGUACAUGCAAUCCACGAGCCUGGAUGAAUUGCCCAGUCAUCAAAUACUUGCCUGUAGUGCUGCUAUAAAACUUUUCAGUUGGUUCAAUUGAUUUUGUCUCAGUUCUGUUUUUCAAUCUUCUUCUAACAUGUAUCGAAUGGUGAUGAUUAGGUUCAAUAUCGCUGCUUUGUUUCAAUGAAAUGCAAACUCUACUUGUUAU